This is a long non-coding RNA of Trematomus bernacchii (emerald rockcod), 970 nucleotides long. RefSeq lists it as uncharacterized. NCBI's taxonomy places the organism in Eukaryota, Metazoa, Chordata, Actinopteri, Perciformes, Nototheniidae. The transcript has 3 exons. The record is from RefSeq and is a predicted model, not a curated record.
UGUAAUGAUGAAGUACUGGAACACAUCACAUUUUUUACCCAACUGUAAAACCUGCUCAUACAUGUUUAGCAUUCCAUCAUCUGAUAUUGUGUUUACCGACUGGAUAUACCCAAAAGGUGUAUGUAUAAAAGAGGACUUUCAUCAUUCAUGUCAGUUCAAAGGAACUCAGAACAGUCAAAAUGGUGAAUUAUAAAGUGACUGUUUCCACCUCCGGACCGCUGGAUCACAGACAGCGAGGUGCAAUGCUUCAGAGAAGGAACAGUUUCAGGGGAUGCCUCGUUUUCGUCCGAGUAUGACUCCUCUCUGUCCCCUUCGUCAAUGGAUGCCUCAGUUGGAAGUGCGAGCAGAGUCUCAGGCGCAGUGACUGUUGCUGGUGUGGUGGAACUGGAUGGCUGGUCAAGGUUGUGCCGGUGGAACUCCCUGAUAAGCCGGGGUUCAAGGAUGUGUCGAUGUUGGGACCCAGGAUCUCUCUUCUGUAUAUAAACUUCCUGGUCAAACCGAUAUUGCAGGCCUCUCCAACAGCUACCUGAACGAAGCAACGGCAAAUUGUGUAGGUUGGUCCUCCAUCUUUCAUACGAGACGGUGGUGGAGGUGUAGCAUCACCAAAUAUGUAUUAUUGAGAAGAAGAUGAUCAUGACGUGACAAUCGUUUUCAGAACCAUUUCUGGUCUCCAUUCUUCCAGCCUAUGGGAAAUUGUGCUGGCCAACCCUAGCACAAUAUGUUAUAUGUUUUAGCAUCUACUAGGAUCUAGUUAGUGUUGUGUUGUACCCACUGCAUUCAGAAAUUAGCUCAAAUUAAAAACACUUCUUACUAAUGUACAGUACAAUAUAACCUUUAACAAGGUCUUCAGUAAUAAACAAAUAAUCAAAUUAACACAUUUCUGACAAUGUCAAAAAACAUCAUAAAAGUUAUGAAAAGGUUAAAGUGUAUGGAAGAGCUGGUGCACUAUAUUGCAUUACAUGUUUGUGUU